RNAcentral lists this ribosomal RNA (643 nucleotides) under uncultured bacterium. Its description in RNAcentral is "bacterial SSU rRNA". It matches the Rfam family "Bacterial small subunit ribosomal RNA", at positions 232 to 885 of the family's 1533-position model. The record is from RNAcentral.
CGCGGCCUAUCAGCUUGUUGGUGGGGUAAUGGCCUACCAAGGCGUCGACGGGUAGCCGGCCUGAGAGGGUGUACGGCCACAUUGGGACUGAGAUACGGCCCAGACUCCUACGGGAGGCAGCAGUGGGGAAUAUUGCACAAUGGGCGCAAGCCUGAUGCAGCGACGCCGCGUGGGGGAUGACGGCCUUCGGGUUGUAAACUCCUUUCGCUAGGGACGAAGAGGAAUUGACGGUACCUGGAGAAGAAGCACCGGCUAACUACGUGCCAGCAGCCGCGGUAAUACGUAGGGUGCGAGCGUUGUCCGGAAUUACUGGGCGUAAAGAGCUCGUAGGUGGUUUGUCGCGUCGUUUGUGUAAGUCCGCAGCUUAACUGCGGGACUGCAGGCGAUACGGGCAUAACUUGAGUGCUGUAGGGGAGACUGGAAUUCCUGGUGUAGCGGUGGAAUGCGCAGAUAUCAGGAGGAACACCGAUGGCGAAGGCAGGUCUCUGGGCAGUAACUGACGCUGAGGAGCGAAAGCAUGGGGAGCGAACAGGAUUAGAUACCCUGGUAGUCCAUGCCGUAAACGGUGGGCGCUAGGUGUGAGUCCCUUCCACGGGGUUCGUGCCGUAGCUAACGCAUUAAGCGCCCCGCCUGGGGAGUACGG